This 253-nucleotide ribosomal RNA is filed under the name uncultured bacterium. RNAcentral describes it as "partial 16S ribosomal RNA". It matches the Rfam family "Bacterial small subunit ribosomal RNA", at positions 524 to 776 of the family's 1533-position model. The record is from RNAcentral.
UACGUAGGGUGCAAGCGUUGUCCGGAUUUAUUGGGCGUAAAGAGCUCGUAGGCGGUUUGUCGCGUCUGCUGUGAAAACUCGGGGCUUAACCCCGGGCCUGCAGUGGGUACGGGCAGACUAGAGUGCGGUAGGGGAGACUGGAAUUCCUGGUGUAGCGGUGAAAUGCGCAGAUAUCAGGAGGAACACCGGUGGCGAAGGCGGGUCUCUGGGCCGUAACUGACGCUGAGGAGCGAAAGCAUGGGGAGCGAACAGG